This 388-nucleotide ribosomal RNA is filed under the name Salmonella enterica. Its description in RNAcentral is "bacterial SSU rRNA". It matches the Rfam family "Bacterial small subunit ribosomal RNA", at positions 372 to 752 of the family's 1533-position model. The record is from RNAcentral. Lineage: Bacteria; Pseudomonadati; Pseudomonadota; Gammaproteobacteria; Enterobacterales; Enterobacteriaceae.
UGGACGCAAGUCUGAUGGAGCAACGCCGCGUGAGUGAAGAAGGUUUUCGGAUCGUAAAGCUCUGUUGUUGGUGAAGAAGGAUAGAGGUAGUAACUGGCCUUUAUUUGACGGUAAUCAACCAGAAAGUCACGGCUAACUACGUGCCAGCAGCCGCGGUAAUACGUAGGUGGCAAGCGUUGUCCGGAUUUAUUGGGCGUAAAGCGAGCGCAGGCGGAAGAAUAAGUCUGAUGUGAAAGCCCUCGGCUUAACCGAGGAACUGCAUCGGAAACUGUUUUUCUUGAGUGCAGAAGAGGAGAGUGGAACUCCAUGUGUAGCGGUGGAAUGCGUAGAUAUAUGGAAGAACACCAGUGGCGAAGGCGACUCUCUGGUCUGCAACUGACGCUGAGGC